Triticum urartu is the source of this 2569-nucleotide non-coding RNA. The record is from RefSeq and is a predicted model, not a curated record. NCBI's taxonomy places the organism in Eukaryota, Viridiplantae, Streptophyta, Magnoliopsida, Poales, Poaceae.
AAAAAAUUAGACGCUUUCAACUGAAUAAAAAAUGUGUCACACAAGUUCAGGUAUAACUACUGCAGGACUUCAGAAAUCUGAACAAACAAUGCUCAAACCAAUAGCUAAUGUACGUCUGAUGUCAAGUUUCUCUAUAUGGUUCGCAGUCCAACUGCUGUAUCCGGCUGGGCUGCUCAUGUGACGAGCUCCUCUUCCAGGUCCGGCAGCCCCCUGUACUUCCUCAAUCUUUCAAAGUUUGAUCCUUUUUUGCAGCAUGCUGAAAAACAGGAUCCAACAUUUAUGAAAAAGAGAUGAAUUUAGAGGAAGAUGCAGCACUGGAACGCAGAAGACUCAGUUCACAAAAAAAUGAAAAAUGGCAGGAACAGGCAGCAGUUUUCAAAAAUGAAGAUGGAGAUGUGAGCAUGUAUACAUAUGUUCUAGAGACACUAGACUUAUCUGGUGGUGUGUGCGUGCUGCUGUAUCCUCUUCCGGCCACUCUAAUCUACACCCUCAGUACAAGCCGAUGCAUCACCAAGUUCUACAGGGGUGCGGGGUUCAGUUCGACGAUGACGAGCCAGGCAGCCGGCCUUUGCAUCGUGAACUGGCGCAGUUUGAUCUUGUAAGAAAUGGAAAUUCCCUGAUGUUGAGUGUGUCAGUACAUUUGCUUGGCUGCUUUGCUACUCUAGUUAGUAACAUAUCACUUGCUAAAUCAAAAAUAUUUUGUUGUUCACUUUCCUGUGUUUUGUUGGAUAAUUCUCAGGCUUUCUUUCUCUGAGAGGUACAAAAAUCAUAGUGCUUAAUAUACCGAUGUGUGUGUUAUACUUGAAUUAAAUAAAGUUAGAGGAGAAAGUACCCCUAUUCCAUUACUUUGAGAAGUACAAGUACAUCUUUCUGAUAGUACAGUGCAGGCCCGGUGCUGGCCCUGCACAAAUGGCGUCUUUAGCUCACCACGCUACCUCCCUCCCGCCGGUGGCUCUCCGUCCCUAUUCAAAUUUUUCCAGUGCGUCUUUAUAUUUUGUUCAGGUCAACUACUUGCUGGUCAUAAGUCCAAUUUCAUCUGUGUUUCCAUGUUCUUCCUAUAGCAUAAGUUGAUUGGCAUUACUGUGACACUGAUCAAGCCAACUGCGUGUAUUUAGUGAUUAAGGUCAUUUGUAAAGAACUUUUACACUUGCUGUGAUGCCUUACAAUUAAGACAUUUUUUAUAUAAACAUUGUUGCAACAUGAAUGUCAAGGAAAAGCAUGUGAAAAUGCCCUCUAUAGGAGAAAGGCUUCUACAGAAAAUACUGUUGCAACAUUUUAGGCAUGCGAUUACAAUUUUUUGGCAAUUUAUUCUAAUUGGUGCGUUCAGAUUAGUAAUAUAUAGAGAAAUUGUGUUGGUAGUACCACCAAUCCACCGUUUGUCUAAUUAAACAGAAAUACACAACGGAAAGCAAAAUGUUUUAACUAGUUCAACCCUGUAGGUAAUUACAUUGUAUAGAGGUUGCGCCAAUUACACUGUAUAGAGGCUACAUCAGUUCAGUAUGAAAAAGGAACACAAUAAGUUAACUUUGCAAGUACAUCAGUUCACCUUGAUUAAAAUACAGAAGUGCGCCGGCUAGAUUUCGAUCAGUUUGCUUAUAAAAAAAUAGAAAGUUGGUACUGUAAAGAAAACCGGAGAACCAAUGUCAGCCUAGGUAACUCCACACACACACACAUGUCACUGUCAUACCCUGCAUAAUGGAAAUGGAUGCAGAGCAGGAGUGAAACAUGGAAGGGGAAUUGUUGCAGGGGCAAGUGUUGUGGGCAUUAGCUGCUAUGGUGCAUCUUAUCCAGUUAUUGCUUGGUCUACAUGCGGCCAUUGCGAGGUUCAGCUUGGUUGACAAAAGUAAGACCAAAUCUGGGUGUGUGUGUUUGUGUGUGUGUGCAAGUGCAACCGUGACUUGCAUAUGGUGUACAGACAAAGUUAUUUUGGUUUUCAGACCCAGAAAAUGUUCAAAAAGAGUAUAUAGCCUGGGAAGUGGGAAGUACAAGAGGCAAAAGUUACCGAGUUCAAAAAAACAAAAAAUUUUCAGAAGUACAAGGGAAAAGAUGGAGAGGUUGGACUACUCACGACUGUUGUUGUGGAGCCGUGGCGCAUCGACGAGCUCCUGCAGAGCCACGAGCUGCGGAACCGACGAGCCGGCUGCCUGUCAUAGUUCCACAAAGGUUAAAAAUAGUUGCUAAUUAAUUCCACAAAGGAUUUGUAUGAUCCAUAGCCAUCAGGCGAGCAGUUUAAGGCCUACUGCGUGAACCGUCCACGUCUUCUAUGCAUGAGCUUGUUGUCUCGACGCAUCUAGCAUCGGAGUAUCUCCUCCCCCUUGCCGCACACACAUGUCGGGCAGUCGAGCUAGUGUUGUUUGUGAUUGCUGUCAUUGGACAAAGGAUUUGUUCUAUAACUCUGUACUGACGGGACCUUCAGCAUAUAUGGGGUUUAGAAUUUGUUUGUAACUUUGUACUAUCGGGACCUUCAGCAUAUAUGGUGUUUCCAGUAUUCUGAUCUGUAGGCCAAAAAUGGUGAACAUUUAAACAUCAGUUUGAUUUAAUAAAACUGAGAAGUUCUACUUUUGGUAAA